Molecule: ribosomal RNA, 815 nt
Filed under: Anelosimus domingo
Lineage: Eukaryota; Metazoa; Arthropoda; Arachnida; Araneae; Theridiidae
Description: partial 16S ribosomal RNA
Rfam family: Archaeal large subunit ribosomal RNA (bases 59-368)
Source: RNAcentral
CAAAUUUCUUUAUUAAUUUUUUAUAAAUAAUUUAUAUUAAAUAUAAAAAUAUAUUUUUAAAUAAAAAAGACGACAAGACCCUAUUAAAUUUAACUUAUAGUUUAGCUGGGGAAGCUUUUUAAAUAAAAUUUUUAUAUAAUUUUUAAAAAUAUAUUUAAUAAAAUUAAAAAUAAAACAAAUUACUAUAGGGAUAACAGCGUUAUAUUUUUUAAAAGUUCUUAUUUAAAAAAAUGAUUGCGACCUCGAUGUUGAAUUAUAUUUUCUAUAUUAAUGCAAUAAUUAUAAAAGUAGAUCUGUUCGAUCUUUAAAAUAUUACAUGAUUUGAGUUCAAACCGGUGUAAACCAGGUUGGUUUCUAUCUUUUUAUAUAUAUAUAUAUUUUUUAAGUACGAAAGGAAAAAAAAAAAUUUAUUUUAAUUAUUUAGCAAAUUAAUAUGCAUUAGAUUUAGAAUCUAAAUAAAAUAUUAUUUUUUAAUUAAUUCUUUUAUAUCUAUUAUUAUACUUUUAAUUUCAGUUGCAUUUUAUACAAUUUUAGAACGAAAAAUUUUAAGAUACAUUCAAAUUCGAAAAGGUCCAAAUAAAGUAGGUUUUAUAGGAAUUUUACAACCAUUUAGUGAUGCUAUUAAAUUAUUUAAUAAAAAUUUAAUUUCACUUGAAAGAAUAAAUUUUAUAUUAUCAUAUUCAACUCCAGCAUUAUCUUUAAUUUUAAUAAUAAUAAUUACUUCUAUAUUACCUAUAUAUAUCUAUUCUACAUUUGAUAAUAAAAAUAAUAUUUUAAUAUUUUUUGUAAUUUCAAGAUUAGCAGUCUAUUCUAUU